RNAcentral lists this ribosomal RNA (253 nucleotides) under uncultured bacterium. RNAcentral's name for it is "partial 16S ribosomal RNA". It matches the Rfam family "Bacterial small subunit ribosomal RNA", at positions 524 to 776 of the family's 1533-position model. The record is from RNAcentral.
UACGUAGGGACCAAGCGUUGUUCGGAUUUACUGGGCGUAAAGGGCGCGUAGGCGGCGCGGUAAGUCACUUGUGAAAUCUCUGAGCUUAACUCAGAACGGCCAAGUGAUACUGCAGUGCUAGAGUGUGGAAGGGGCAAUCGGAAUUCUUGGUGUAGCGGUGAAAUGCGUAGAUAUCAAGAGGAACACCUGAGGUGAAGACGGGUUGCUGGGCCAACACUGACGCUGAGGCGCGAAAGCCAGGGGAGCGAAUGGG